RNAcentral lists this ribosomal RNA (253 nucleotides) under uncultured bacterium. RNAcentral describes it as "partial 16S ribosomal RNA". It matches the Rfam family "Bacterial small subunit ribosomal RNA", at positions 524 to 776 of the family's 1533-position model. The record is from RNAcentral.
GACGUAGGGUCCGAGCGUUGUCCGGAGUUACUGGGCGUAAAGGGCGCGUAGGUGGCUCUGUAAGUUUGCGGUGAAAGCCCGGGGCUCAACCCCGGGUCUGCCGUGGAUACUGCAAGGCUUGAGUACUGUAGAGGCAGGUAGAAUAUCGGGUGUAGCGGUGGAAUGCGUAGAGAUCCGAUAGAAGACCGGUGGCGAAGGCGGCCUGCUGGGCAGUAACUGACACUGAGGCGCGACAGCGUGGGGAGCAAACAGG